CCUACGGGAGGCUGCAGUGAGGAAUAUUGGUCAAUGGACGAGAGUCUGAACCAGCCAAGUAGCGUGAAGGAUGACUGCCCUAUGGUUUGUAAACUUCUUUUAUAAAGGAAUAAAACGAGGCACGUGUGCCUUUUUGCAUGUACUUUAUGAAUAAGGAUCGGCUAACUCCGUGCCAGCAGCCGCGGUAAUACGGAGGAUCCGAGCGUUAUCCGGAUUUAUUGGGUUUAAAGGGAGCGUAGAUGGGUUGUUAAGUCAGUUGUGAAAGUUUGCGGCUCAACCGUAAAAUUGCAAUUGAUACUGGCAGUCUCGAGUACAGUUGAGGUAGGCGGAAUUCGUGGUGUAGCGGUGAAAUGCUUAGAUAUCACGAAGAACCCCGAUUGCGAAGGCAGCUUACUAAACUGUGACUGACAUUGAUGCUCGAAAGUGUGGGUAUCAAACAGGAUUAGAUACCCGAGUAGUC
RNAcentral lists this ribosomal RNA (460 nucleotides) under uncultured bacterium. RNAcentral describes it as "partial 16S ribosomal RNA". It matches the Rfam family "Bacterial small subunit ribosomal RNA", at positions 338 to 795 of the family's 1533-position model. The record is from RNAcentral.